RNAcentral lists this ribosomal RNA (468 nucleotides) under uncultured bacterium. RNAcentral describes it as "partial 16S ribosomal RNA". It matches the Rfam family "Bacterial small subunit ribosomal RNA", at positions 28 to 507 of the family's 1533-position model. The record is from RNAcentral.
GACGAACGCUGGCGGCGUGCUUAACACAUGCAAGUCGAACGGAAAGGCCCUGCUUUUGUGGGGUGCUCGAGUGGCGAACGGGUGAGUAACACGUGAGUAACCUGCCCUUGACUUUGGGAUAACUUCAGGAAACUGGGGCUAAUACCGCAUAGGAGCUCCUGCUGCAUGGUGGGGGUUGGAAAGUUUCGGCGGUUGGGGAUGGACUCGCGGCUUAUCAGCUUGUUGGUGGGGUAGUGGCUUACCAAGGCUUUGACGGGUAGCCGGCCUGAGAGGGUGACCGGCCACAUUGGGACUGAGAUACGGCCCAGACUCCUACGGGAGGCAGCAGUGGGGAAUAUUGCACAAUGGGCGGGAGCCUGAUGCAGCAACGCCGCGUGCGGGAUGACGGCCUUCGGGUUGUAAACCGCUUUCGCCUGUGACGAAGCGUGAGUGACGGUAAUGGGUAAAGAAGCACCGGCUAACUACGUG